AGUGAACGCUGGCGGCAGGCCUAACACAUGCAAGUCGAGCGGCAGCGCGUCCGACCACCCUCGGGUGGUCGGAUGGCGGCGAGCGGCGGACGGGUGAGGAAUGCAUCGGAAUCUGCCUCGUUGUGGGGGAUAACGUAGGGAAACUUACGCUAAUACCGCAUACGACCUACGGGUGAAAGUGGGGGACCUUCGGGCCUCACGCGAUGAGAUGAGCCGAUGCCGGAUUAGCUAGUUGGCGGGGUAAAGGCCCACCAAGGCGACGAUCCGUAGCUGGUCUGAGAGGAUGAUCAGCCACACUGGAACUGAGACACGGUCCAGACUCCUACGGGAGGCAGCAGUGGGGAAUAUUGGACAAUGGGCGCAAGCCUGAUCCAGCCAUGCCGCGUGAGUGAAGAAGGCCUCGGUUGUAAGA
Molecule: ribosomal RNA, 412 nt
Filed under: uncultured bacterium
Lineage: Bacteria
Description: bacterial SSU rRNA
Rfam family: Bacterial small subunit ribosomal RNA
Source: RNAcentral